Molecule: long non-coding RNA, 1020 nt
Filed under: Oryctolagus cuniculus (rabbit)
Lineage: Eukaryota; Metazoa; Chordata; Mammalia; Lagomorpha; Leporidae
Description: lncRNA (ENSOCUG00000039525.1)
Source: RNAcentral
GCAAGAAUGUGGAGGCUUAGAAAAUUUUAAUUGGGAUGGCAAUGAACAAGACCCAUUUUCUUCAAAGCCUGUGAUUUUCUAUGGAGCACCUGUGCAUCCUUCCUGUGUGUGACUACAAAGCAAAUAACGACUGGAAUCAUGGAUCUCUCGUCUUGUCAAUGAGGAAACCUGGGUCCUGAGAAAUUCAGUGACUUGCUCAAGUUCCCGUACAUUGAGAAGCAGAGCAGGGGCUCUUGAGCUCCCAAACCUUUCCUCCUUCCAGGACACCCCAAGCUCCCACCUGCUAUGCAAACACUGAAGACUUCAGCUGUUUCUUGUCCAUCAUACGAGAUCCCAUGACCCAGAGCUUCAAACUUCAAACACAGCAGUGUGCCUCUUCAAAUUCUUUCCAGAAAGUGCUUCCUAUUGGUUGUGACAGUUGCCUUGUGAAACCCAGCAGCAAUACCAACAAUGAGUCAAGGCCAUGUAUUAUCAACCUUUGCCCUAACCCUGUCCUGACUGAGAUUUCAGAGUCAGAACCUGGGGAGUCUGAGUUCUUCUCAGCCCCAGCGGUAUUAUCCUCAGAACAAAUCAACUUGCUAUUAUAUGUAACAAGUAUGGGCUGCCAGUUAACGGAGGGAUGAAGGGAAACUGGAGACUUAUUCUAUGUCAUUGAAAAUCCAGUGGACUCAUCGUCUGGGAUUGGAAGUCCAGGUGACUGAUACCGGUGUUGCUGUCUAUUCAGGUAAAAUUUAGACCGAUUUUUGCUUUUUUCCUCCAUCUAACAAAAUCUAUGUGUCACACAACUCUGCAACUGUCAGUCUAUGAACAAAUGAUUCUAAAUGAAAUAGGGUGGUUUUACAAACAAUGAGAGUUCCAGAGGUACAAGUUAAGCUCAGAUUAUAGAGGAAGGAGUCUUAUUGAAAUGAAAGUAUUUAAAUAUGUCAGAAUUUUAUGAUUUUGCAGCAUGAUUUCCACUUUAAAGUGCUCAAAAUUUAUCUUAGGAAUAAAAAUGUAUUGUAUUUUGAUUUCUGUGUGAUU